AGUAUCUUCUCUCUUCAGAGCACAGAGUCCUGGGCCUCCCAUGACAACACUCAGACAGGAAGGCUCUAAGACCAUGAUGAAGCCUGUCCCUGGCUCUGCAUCUGCCCACCUCUGCCAUCCCUGCUGCUGACUCUGCUGCUGGAAUUCCCCAAUGCUACCUCUCAAUGGACAACAAAUGUGGGAAAAUAUGAAAUUAUAAAGCAAG
Canis lupus familiaris (dog) is the source of this 205-nucleotide long non-coding RNA. RefSeq lists it as uncharacterized. NCBI's taxonomy places the organism in Eukaryota, Metazoa, Chordata, Mammalia, Carnivora, Canidae. The transcript has 2 exons. The record is from RefSeq and is a predicted model, not a curated record.